CUUGGUCAUUUAGAGGAAGUAAAGUUGUCCUCAUAAGUUUGGCAAUAAGAGGAGCCAUUUAACAUGUUAAAUGGUGUCACAUAAUCGGAGGCCACGACUGUUUAAUUAAAACACAGACAUCUGCUACGAUUAAUUUAUUUGUAUAGGUGUUGAAUUUUGCAACCUGCCAUCAACAUAAGGUCUGCGAGUUCAAAUAUGCGGAUUGAAAGUCUGGUUAAUGGCGGUCGAGAAAGGCCGCGUGUUAUACUUAAAGAUUGUGCAAGUUCUGUGAGCUUGUUGCAAUCAACCCACCCCCGGUGGGUUGAAUAAAAACCCCACGAUUAGUGUAGGUUUAUAUCCUAGUUCCCUCAGAGACUAAACGUUAAACAAAAGCAAAACUACAUUAGUUUCGGGCUCAACCGAAUAUAUAAAUAACCCCCAUUUUAAAAAUUCGGUAAAGGAAUCUUGCUUUUGAUGAUAUAUUCCACAUAUUUAUAAAAAUAUAAAUAUUCAAGCCUAAGGUAGCGAAAUUUAUUGUCCGUUAAAUGCGGUCCCGCAUGAAUAAAGUAACGAUGGUCUCACUGUCUCUACAAGCAUCUCAGUGAAAUUGAAUUAGCCGUGCAGAUGCCGCUACCUCCGCGGAGGAAGCAUAUCAAUAAGCGGAGGA
This 646-nucleotide ribosomal RNA is filed under the name uncultured Moniliopsis. Its description in RNAcentral is "partial large subunit ribosomal RNA". It matches the Rfam family "Bacterial large subunit ribosomal RNA", at positions 1695 to 2097 of the family's 2925-position model. Lineage: Eukaryota; Fungi; Basidiomycota; Agaricomycetes; Cantharellales; Ceratobasidiaceae. The record is from RNAcentral.